Molecule: ribosomal RNA, 684 nt
Filed under: Triticum aestivum (bread wheat)
Lineage: Eukaryota; Viridiplantae; Streptophyta; Magnoliopsida; Poales; Poaceae
Description: partial small subunit ribosomal RNA
Source: RNAcentral
AUGGCCGUUCUAUCAACGACGGCUCCACCGGAAAAGGGGGCGCCGCCUCCUGAAGAUGGCCUCGUCGUGGGCGUCUUCAGCGGCCAGGAAUGGAAGGUCCUUCGGGAGAGAUCAACGAGUUUAAUCAAGAAAGCGAAAAAUCGGGAAAGAUGUCUUGAGCAUUCAAGGAGAAGAUUGAGGGAUUUGUGCCGCAAAUUGGCAGGUGAGAUCCCAUCUGACUCACAUGAGGAAGGUCCGACGGGGCCCAAUUUUGCUAUGGAAAUUGUUGUUACGGUGAGACAUGAUUUGGGGAAAAAUUUAGGGACAGAGGAGGAGGUGGUAUUUAAUCUUGAUUAUUUGGUAAAUUCUCUCUCUAGUUUGGAAAGUAAGGACAUGAAUCAGUGGGGAUCUUCCAAGGGAAUCGCGAAGUUUUCGGCAGGUGGGAUCCCGUCGAGUCUUUGUGAGGAUGGUAGGAUAGGAUUGAGAGGAAACAGGAGUCCCGCUAGGUGGGAGGGGAAUGAUUCGGACGAGAUGGGCGUGAUUUCCGCCCGGGAUUCAAAGGCUCUUCUUGCUAUUCUGCUAGUUAACUUAUCCAUUCCAGUUUUUAGUAUGAGUAUUCAGCAGGAUUUGAUUGUGUUCUCGAUUCUGGAUCCAGCUCUGCCUGUUUGUGAAUCAUUUGAGGGAGAGGGAGUUUUUUCGCUGUAG